AAUGAAUUAAGACUUUGGAAGACUGUUGAAAGAGGAUGAUUGUGUUUUGAAAUGUGAGGACAUGAGAUUUGGAAGGCACCAGGGGUAGAAUAUUAUGGUUUGGCUGUGUCCUCACGCAAGUACCAUCUUGAAUUGUAGUUCCCAUAAUCCCCACAUGUUGUGGAAGUGACCUGGUGGGAGAUAAUUGAAUCAUGGGGGUGCUGUUAUUGUGGUAGUGAGUGAGUUUUCAUGAGCUCUAAUGGUUUAAUAAGGGGCUUUUCCCUCUUUGCUCAGCACUUCUCCUUCCUGCUGCCAUGUGAAGAAGGACGUGAAACAUGUCACUGCCAUGAUUGGCCAUGGAAGGAGUCUAUUCAAGUGAUGGUCCCUGAAGCUUAUGUUUUUUUAACUUUCUAGCAAUUCUACCACAAGUAAAAAACAGACUACUUCAUACAGCUCCAGAGCCUAGAGAAGUGCCUGGGUCAGAGCAGAGUCCCAGGAAGCAUUUGUGGAUGGAAUACAAGAACAAAUGAACAAAUGAAUUGCAGCCUGGCUGCCAACAGAAACGCUUCGGGAUUUGACCUGCUUCUUCCCCCUUCAGACAAUGUGGUUUGACUUUUCUUUUAUUAUGUUUGUUGAAAGCAAAAGUAAAUUCUAUUAAUCCAUUAUAAAAACAACAGGAGGUUUAUUAUUUCCAUGAGAAUCUCAUAGUUAUACAGAUCCAGGUAAGGCUUCAUCUAAGACAAGGAAUUGUCGGCCGGGCGCAG
This 743-nucleotide long non-coding RNA is filed under the name Homo sapiens (human). RNAcentral's name for it is "HSALNT0070014". Lineage: Eukaryota; Metazoa; Chordata; Mammalia; Primates; Hominidae. The record is from RNAcentral.